This 329-nucleotide unclassified non-coding RNA is filed under the name soil metagenome. Its description in RNAcentral is "partial contains 5.8S ribosomal RNA, internal transcribed spacer 2, and large subunit ribosomal RNA". The stretch from base 1 to 120 matches the Rfam family "5.8S ribosomal RNA", at positions 35 to 154 of the family's 154-position model. The record is from RNAcentral.
GAUGAAGAACGUAGCGAAAUGCGAUAAGUAAUGUGAAUUGCAGAAUUCAGUGAAUCAUCGAAUCUUUGAACGCACAUUGCGCCCCUUGGUAUUCCGAGGGGCAUGCCUGUUCGAGUGUCAUUAUAACCCCUCAAGCUCAGCUUGGUGUUGGGGCCUGCUGCACUGGCAGCCCUUAAAAUCAGUGGCGGCGCCAUCUGGCUCUAAGCGUAGUAAUUCUUCUCGCUAUGGAGUCCUGGUGGAUGCUUGCCAUCAACCCCCAAUUUUUCUAUGGUUGACCUCGGAUCAGGUAGGGAUACCCGCUGAACUUAAGCAUAUCAAUAAGCGGAGGA